GAAUGUGAAGACAGGAGAGGAAGGUGUAGAUGACAGUGCGGGGGUGUGCUUGCUGCUGGCACCUUAUGCGGCUCCUCUACCACCUUGAGUAGAAGAUGGUAGUAUAUGCAGAGUCGAUGGCCAUGGUGGAAGAGGACCACGAGCAUCACUGGUGCCGAAACGAAGCUCAAUUGCUCCCCACAUGCAUCGUAUGGUCACUAGGAUCAUCUAUGGAUCAACUGAGGAAGCAUAAAUGAGGAGGUGGUAAGUUUCAGCCAUUUUGUAGAUUUGAUAAAGUUUUAAAAAGUUCCAAGGUGGGAUGACAAAUUUCUGAAGUGGUGGCAAUGCUGAGCAAAUGGCAAGCUGGAACUAUUGCUAGAGUUGCUGAAGUUUUAAAAGGUUGCAAGAUGAGAUGAAAAACUUCUAAAGUGAGGACAAUGCUCUAGAGUUAGGGUGAAUGAGGAUAAUAAAAAAUGAAAGGGAAGUAGGGUUAAGGAUAAAAAUGUUGUUUUCUUUUCUUGGAAGGAGAUGGUGGUAAGGAAUUAUGAGAAAAAUGUGGAGAAUAUAUAUCUU
Hordeum vulgare subsp. vulgare (domesticated barley) is the source of this 552-nucleotide long non-coding RNA. RefSeq lists it as uncharacterized. The transcript is spliced from 3 exons. The record is from RefSeq and is a predicted model, not a curated record. Lineage: Eukaryota; Viridiplantae; Streptophyta; Magnoliopsida; Poales; Poaceae.